This 220-nucleotide long non-coding RNA is filed under the name Drosophila guanche. Lineage: Eukaryota; Metazoa; Arthropoda; Insecta; Diptera; Drosophilidae. The record is from RNAcentral.
GCGAAAAAUAAUUUUUUAUUUUCAAUUUUCCUGCCUCUGCCACGGCUACAGCCACUGCCACAGCCACUCUCUCUGUUCCCGAAAUGGAAAGUACAAGUUUUUGGUGUUGGCCAAAUGAUGGGCAAAAACCAAUUUGAUUUUGAAUACGUUAUGAGGCGCAAAAAUAAGAUGAAAACAAAGUGUGAAAAAAAUCCGGAAAAAGAUCGUAAAAAUAAACACC